Molecule: long non-coding RNA, 3044 nt
Filed under: Paramuricea clavata
Lineage: Eukaryota; Metazoa; Cnidaria; Anthozoa; Malacalcyonacea; Plexauridae
Source: RNAcentral
CGGUAUUCGAUACCAGCGAUACCACAAACAGCGGUAUCGGUAUCGAUUACUGACGUGGUAUCGUUCGAUACUUGCACCCUUUUUUAAACGACUUGUUUAAUUUCACUUCUUGGUUGAAUAAGACUUAAUAAACCACUAAAAUAGCUCUUAAUAUUCCAAAUGUGGUGCGCCAAGUCAUGUAUAGAAAAUAUUUAUUACGUUUCGGGCUUUUGGUUUACUUAUAGCUUUAUUUAGAUUACAUACAGUAAUGUAAAAUGUUUUUCCGCUGACCGGCAGGUAUCUAAAGUACACGCGUAAAAAUUGAUCAGGUUGUUCGGCGUUGUUCAUUGAACAAUGCCUGAACAAUGUUGUUAUCAUGGCUGAACAACGUUGUUCAAGCGACAAUCGUUAACAACAUUGUUCCAACAACUUGUUCACGCUUGAUGAACGAACAAUGGUUGUUGCAACAUGAUGGAACAAGCGUCAACAAGGUUGAUGAAACAUGCUUGAUAGAUGUUGUCAGAACAAUGUUGUUCAGCGUUGUUCAUUCAUCAGGCGUCAACAAUAUUGUUCGAACAGGCGUGAACAACAUUGAUGAAAGAACAAGUUGUUUUUAGUUGUUCGAACAACCGUGAACAGCAUUGUUAUAAAUAGACAGUAAAAUAAUGAUUUGAACAACACAAAAACUUGUUUUUAUUGGUUGUUUCGAAAUCGCUGGGAUGCAAAACGGACGAAUGCGACGAAUAUCACGAGAGCAAGAAAUCAAACGGGCUUUUACAGCAAAAUAAAUGUCAUUUAAACUUUGUGGUUUUUUCUGAAGAUUGAGAGGAAAAUACUGAAAAAAAUAACUUGGUAAGUGUCUUGUUUUGAGGUAAGGUUAGUUGUAAAAGCUUAAAACAACCCGACCUUUUGAUUUUAGUCAUUUUCAUAGUGCACGACGAAGAAAUGCACACGCACAUUUAAACUUUAUAGUACUUUUAUAUAGGCAUUGCAUUUUGAUAUUUUUCUCUAUAUUUUCAGUAUAUAUGAAACAAGAAACCGCUGUUAUACUGUAAUAAAAGCCGUAAUAUAAACAAAACAUUUAAUUCUCAAAAUAUUGUUUAAAUUUUUCCAAUUACACUCUAAAUUUCUGUCAGAGUCUUUUUAACUUUGAAAUUUGAAUAUGUCAAAAACGCUAUCAUAUCAUAUGUCCUCCGCUCCUUCCGUCCCUAUUGUUGUUUGUAAUUAAUUUAAGUUUGAUCACUGCUAUAUAUAAACAAUUCCUAUUGUGUUUUAACAAGGUCAACCAAAUACUUGAUCAGUUUACACACCAAGAAUGAUGUAUUUACUGCAUAUAAUAUGUAAUGGAUAGAUUAUAGGUAGGUAGGUAAGAGUGCAUACAGUUAAAUAAUUAGCCAUUUCUCAUAUUUCCUUUUAUUUCCUGGUUAAGCAGGUGACUAUAAUUGUCAUGGAAGGUAUAUGAAGGAGGUAGCUAUGAUUUUAUCACAUGGCUAUGGGGGAUACUUAGGGACCGUUCAUUAUUUAUACCUGGGGUUGGUACCGAAGAGAAGCGAGAAACACUGUAAAUCUUUCAUUUACCCAACCUCAACAAUGGUCAAAAUAAUGUUUACCCAACCCAUGUGUUGCUGUACUUCAUAAUAAUUAAACACACAAGAUUAUGGUUACAGAAAUGAAGUUGCUUAAAUUCUAAAAGCUCGUAAACUCACUGAGUGUGCCAAAGCAAUCACGUUUCUGCUGAUCAAUGAUGGAGUCCUUGCUGAUCAAUGAUGGAGUCCUUCCUCAAUCACUGAUGGUCUAUUUUUGUACAGAACGUAUUGUACACAUUUUUUCUUUAUAUUUUCCAAUGCAUGGUAAUUUUUUUACCCAACCCAUCAGCUAGUCAAAAACCUGAUUACCCAACCCAUAUCUCUUCGGUACCAACCCCUGGUAUAAAUAAUGAACUGUCCCUUAUGACCAUUAUUAUGCUCACAUGUAAUUAUUGUCUCAUUUUUAUCCUUUUUGUAGUGUAAACUUAAGUAUAAAAAUAAAGAUUUAUGAAUAUGUCAGACAAAUUAUAUACAAUGGGUGAUCACUUGGUAAGUAAUUUUUAUACCUUUGUUGUGUUCUGUGUAGAUGGAGGCUAUUUUGGCAAUAGCCAUGCACUUAGACAUAGCAUGACCAGUCCAUAUGUGGACUGCCUAUGUCUAUUAAUUUAAACAUGAUUGAAUACCCAAAUUAGAUUCAAGAUUAUGAUAUGUCCCAGGCAUGGAUCCAAAAAUGACCAUGUACUGAAGUUAUAUGGCAUGAGCCAUGUAAAAUAUGGUGGGAAACAUACAAUUGGGGCUGCAUCCCACCAUAAUGCACUAGUCAAUUGAAACCCCGACCCCCGGGAUAGGGAGGGGAAAUUAACAUUUUGACAAUGUUAAAUUUUGGACAUUUCCCUGCUACCGGGAGAAUAUUGACUGUUAAAAUUACUGUCCCUAUGGCCCCAGCACUAAUUUGCAAAUUUUCAUGACUUGGGAAAUUUUCAUGACUUGGGAAUUGUCCUGGCUAAUAAAUUGACUUGUUAUUUACCCUGUACCCCGGGGGAAAUCUGCAUUAAGACCGUGUUAAUCCACGGCCAUUCCCCCAUUAAUUCCCCGCCCUGUCCCGGGGUUGGGGGUUUCAAUUGACUAGUGCAUGCAUAAACAUUGCAAAGGUCCGUUUUGUAAAUUAAUGGCACUUUGUAUUUAAUCUUAAUUUAUAGGGCCUGUGAGUUCAUAUCUGGAAUAAAAUAGUGGCAAAUCUACAGAAAUAUCACUGCUAAGGAGUGUCAAACAAAUUCAGGAGGACUGAAUUAACUGGAUGUUCUCAGGAUGAAAAAGAAAUUGUUGACUUUAAUUGAAUAAUCAUUAUCAUUAAUGUAAGGUUAAAAAUAUUGAACAUUCAAAAGGAUGCAGACAGAAAAUUGAAAGUAGGGCCUGAAUUUCAGGUUAAGUGAUCCAGGAAUGGGGUUGGCCCUCUGCCAGUAUUUAAUAUGAACUCAAAAGUCAAAACACUUAACACUAUGAAGUAUUUAGAUUUAUAAAUAGUACUUAGUAUUUUAU